GACGAACGCUGGCGGCGUGCUUAACACAUGCAAGUCGAACGGACAGGCCCUGCUUUUGUGGGGUGCUCGAGAGGCGCAGGGGUGAGUAACACGUGUGUAUAAUGCCCUUGUCUUUCGGAUAACUUUAGGAAACUGGGGCUCUUACCGGAUAGGAGAUAUUGCUGCAUGGUGUGGGUUGGAAAGAUUCGGCGGUUGGGGAUGGACUCGCGGCUUAUCAGCUUGAUGGUGGGGUAGUGGCUUACAAAGGGUUUGACGGAUAGCCUGCCUGGGAGGGGGACCGGCCACAAUGGGACUGAGAGACGGCCCAGACGGCAACGGGAGGCAGCAGUGGAGAGUAUGGCACAAUGGGCGGAAGCCAGAGACAGCAACGCCGCGUGCGGAAUAACGUCCUUCGGGUGAUAAACCGCUGUCGCCUGUGACGAAGCGUGAUUGACGGUAAUUGGUAAAGAAGCACCGGCUAACUACGUG
This 468-nucleotide ribosomal RNA is filed under the name uncultured bacterium. RNAcentral's name for it is "partial 16S ribosomal RNA". It matches the Rfam family "Bacterial small subunit ribosomal RNA", at positions 28 to 507 of the family's 1533-position model. The record is from RNAcentral.